This 68-nucleotide transfer RNA is filed under the name Hesperosciurus griseus (western gray squirrel). RNAcentral describes it as "tRNA-Thr". Lineage: Eukaryota; Metazoa; Chordata; Mammalia; Rodentia; Sciuridae. The record is from RNAcentral.
GUCCUAGUAGUAUAAUUUAUUACUCUGGUCUUGUAAACCAAAAAUGAGGCCCAACGCCUCCUCGGACA